This 72-nucleotide transfer RNA is filed under the name Sus scrofa (pig). It matches the Rfam family "tRNA". Rfam says of the family: Transfer RNA (tRNA) molecules are approximately 80 nucleotides in length. The record is from Rfam by way of RNAcentral. Lineage: Eukaryota; Metazoa; Chordata; Mammalia; Artiodactyla; Suidae.
UCCCUGGUGGUCUAGUGGUUAGGACUUGGCGCUAUCACCGCUCAGGCCCGGGUUCAGUCCCUGGUCUGGGAA